This 879-nucleotide ribosomal RNA is filed under the name uncultured Candidatus Kinetoplastidibacterium sp. Its description in RNAcentral is "bacterial SSU rRNA". It matches the Rfam family "Bacterial small subunit ribosomal RNA", at positions 8 to 881 of the family's 1533-position model. Lineage: Bacteria; Pseudomonadati; Pseudomonadota; Betaproteobacteria. The record is from RNAcentral.
AGAGUUUGAUCCUGGCUCAGAUUGAACGCUAGCGGAAUGCUUUACACAUGCAAGUCGAACGGCAACACGGACUUCGGUCUGGUGGCGAGUGGCGGACGGGUGAGUAAUAUAUCGGAACGUGCCCAGUAGUGGGGGAUAACUACGCGAAAGCGUAGCUAAUACCGCAUAUUCCCUUAGGGGGAAAGUGGGGGAUCUUCGGACCUCACGCUAUUGGAUCGGCCGAUAUCGGAUUAGCUAGUUGGUGGGGUAAUGGCUCACCAAGGCAACGAUCCGUAGCUGGUCUGAGAGGACGACCAGCCACACUGGGACUGAGACACGGCCCAGACUCCUACGGGAGGCAGCAGUGGGGAAUUUUGGACAAUGGGGGAAACCCUGAUCCAGCCAUUCCGCGUGUGCGAUGAAGGCCUUAGGGUUGUAAAGCACUUUUGGCAGGGAAGAAACAAUGCUGGAUAAUACCCAGCAUGAAUGACGGUACCUGCAGAAUAAGCACCGGCUAACUACGUGCCAGCAGCCGCGGUAAUACGUAGGGUGCAAGCGUUAAUCGGAAUUACUGGGCGUAAAGAGUGCGCAGGCGGUUCGGAAAGAAGGAUGUGAAAUCCCAGGGCUUAACCUUGGAACUGCAUUUUUAACUACCGAACUAGAGUGUGUCAGAGGGAGGUAGUAUUCCGCAUGUAGCAGUGAAAUGUAGUAGAUAUGCGGAGGAACACCAAUGGCGAAGGCAGCCUCGUGGGAUAACAGUGACGAGCAUGCACGAAAAGUGUGGGGAGCAAACAGGAUUAGAUACCCUGAUAGUCCACGCCAUAAACGAUGUCAACUAGCUGUUGGGACCUUCGGGUCUUAGUGGCGCAGCUAACGCGUGAAGUUGACCGCCUGGGGAGU